Molecule: small RNA, 587 nt
Filed under: Pan troglodytes (chimpanzee)
Lineage: Eukaryota; Metazoa; Chordata; Mammalia; Primates; Hominidae
Description: processed transcript
Source: RNAcentral
CUUCUUGUUGGGCUCUCAGAUCGGGCCCAGGGGCUGCUUUUCGUGCCCGGGCCGGAGGGCCUGGCUGAGCACCUCAUCCCAGAACCGGCUCUGCCUGGCAGGGCCCCCGUGGUCACCUGAUCUUGCACCUGGCCCCAAAGGUGCAUCUGGUUCAGUGGUGCCCUUGCCUUGGUCCCAUGGCCUUGGAUGCUGGGCAGCCCACGAAACCAUCUCCCCCUCGGGGAACUUCAUGCUUCAGUGGCCCAACAAGAAGGAGCAGCAGAGUGAUGUAGGGAAACUGAGUCGCUCCUUAGGAGGAGAAGUCCCACAGAACAACGAGAAGCUUCAGGAGAGCCCGUGCAUCUUCGCAUUGACGCCAAGACAGGUGGAGUUGAUCCGGAACUCCAGGGAACUGCAGCCCGGAGUUAAAGCCGUGCAGGUCGUCCUGAGAAUCUGUUACUCAGACACCAGCUGCCCUCAGGAGGACCAGUACCCGCCCAACAUCGCUGUGAAGGUCAACCACAGCUACUGCUCGGUCCCGGGCUACUACCCCUCCAAUAAGCCCGGGGUGGAGCCCAAGAGGCCGUGCCGCCCCAUCAACCUCACCC